RNAcentral lists this ribosomal RNA (259 nucleotides) under uncultured bacterium. RNAcentral describes it as "partial 16S ribosomal RNA". It matches the Rfam family "Bacterial small subunit ribosomal RNA", at positions 524 to 776 of the family's 1533-position model. The record is from RNAcentral.
UACAGAGGCCUCGAGCGUUAGGCGGAAUCACUGGGCUUAAAGCGUAGUGUAGGCGGACUUCUAAGUACCUUGUGAAAUCCCACGGCUCACCCGUGGAAACUGGCUCGGUAUACUGGUUGUCAUUGAGCCUUCUAGGGGCGAGUGGAACAAAUGGUGGAGCGGUGAAAUGCGUAGAUAGUCAUUUGGAACGCCAAUGGUGAAAACAACUCGCUGGGGAAGUGACUGACGCUGAGACACGAAAGCCAGGGGAGCGAACGGG